Molecule: long non-coding RNA, 262 nt
Organism: Cyclopterus lumpus (lumpfish)
Lineage: Eukaryota; Metazoa; Chordata; Actinopteri; Perciformes; Cyclopteridae
Exons: 3
Source: RefSeq, a predicted model, not a curated record
CUUAAAAAUGUCUCUCUUCAGUUCCUUCCAGUUGUCAGCCUGGUUCAGUUGUGUUGUUUGGUAGGAGCUGACAGAAGUGAUUGAGUUUACUGCUUCACUGGCCUACAACUAGCUGAAGCCAUGGGGUUUCUCUUUAGAUGGUUUCUGUUGUCCUUGCUAGCUGUUGGAAGGCAUCAAGCGAGUGGUUCUGGAUCUGCUGAGAAGCAUGAAGAUAAUGUGCCAGUUGCAGUCUAUCGAACACAUUCAAGUGGCAUUAAAAUUG